RNAcentral lists this ribosomal RNA (2936 nucleotides) under Desulfohalovibrio reitneri. RNAcentral's name for it is "bacterial LSU rRNA". It matches the Rfam family "Bacterial large subunit ribosomal RNA". The record is from RNAcentral. Lineage: Bacteria; Pseudomonadati; Thermodesulfobacteriota; Desulfovibrionia; Desulfovibrionales; Desulfovibrionaceae.
GUAAGAUAAUAAGGGCAACUGGUGGAUGCCUAGGCGCUGAUAGGCGAAGAAAGACGUGGUAGGCUGCGAUAAGCCUCGGGGAGCCGCCAAACAGGCUUUGAUCCGGGGGUUUCUGAAUGGGGAGACCCGUCGGGAGUCAUGUCCCGUCAUCCCUUGGCUGAAUGCAUAGGCCUUGGGAAGCCAACCCGGGGAAGUGAAACAUCUCAGUACCCGGAGGAAGAGAAAUCAACCGAGAUUCCCUUAGUAGCGGCGAGCGAACGGGGACUAGCCCAAACCGGUGUCUUUCGAGGCGCCGGGGUUGUGGGGCCGUCAUCACGUGAUCCGGAAGUAGAUAGCGGAACAGGCUGGGAAGCCUGGCCAUAGCGAGUGAAAGCCUCGUACGCGAAGUCGAACCCGGCGCAGACGGUACCCGAGUAGGGCGGGGCACGUGAAACCCCGUCUGAAUCUGGGGGGACCAUCCUCCAAGGCUAAAUACUCAUCAGCGACCGAUAGUGCACAAGUACCGUGAGGGAAAGGUGAAAAGGACCCCUGUUAGGGGAGUGAAAGAGAACCUGAAACCAGUUGUCUACAAGCGGUUGGAGCGGACAUAGUUCCGCGACAGCGUGCCUUUUGCAUAAUGGGCCAGUGAGUUACUCUGUGCUGCGAGGUUAAGUUUCGACGGAGCCGUAGCGAAAGCGAGUCUGAACAGGGCGUUCAGUAGCGCGGAGUAGACCCGAAGCCGGGUGAUCUAUCCAUGGGCAGGCUGAAGCUCGGGUAAAACCGAGUGGAGGGCCGAACCGGUAGAAGUUGAAAAUUCUUCGGAUGACCUGUGGAUAGGGGUGAAAGGCCAAUCAAACCCGGUAAUAGCUGGUUCUCCCCGAAAUAUAUUGAGGUAUAGCCUCGGAUUAGGUUGACGGAGGUAGAGCACUGACAGGGCUAGGGGGCCCACCAGCUUACCAAACCCUAUCAAACUCCGAAUGCCGUUUAACCGAUGUCCGGGAGUCAGACUGCGGGUGCGAAGGUCCGUAGUCGAGAGGGAAACAGCCCAGACCGCCGGCUAAGGUUCCCAAAUCCAUGCUCAGUGGGAAAAGAGGUGGGACUACUGAGACAGCCAGGAGGUUGGCUUAGAAGCAGCCAUCCUUUAAAGAAAGCGUAAUAGCUCACUGGUCUAGUGGUCCUGCGCUGAAAAUGUAACGGAGCUAAGCAUGGUACCGAAGCCGCGGGCCGAUCAUAGAUCGGCGGUAGGGGAGCGUUCUCACACGGGAUGAAGGGAAAGGCGUGAGCCGUCCUGGACUUGUGAGAAGUGAUUAUGCUGGCAUGAGUAACGAUAAAAUGGGUGAGAAACCCAUUCGCCGUGAGCCCGAGGGUUCCUGGGUAAAGUUAAUCUGCCCAGGGUGAGUCGGCCCCUAAGGCGAGGCCGAAAGGCGUAGCCGAUGGGAAACAGGUUAAUAUUCCUGUACCAGCGCAUACUGCGAUGGGAUGACGCAGGAGGGUAGGCCAUCCGGGUGUUGGACAUCCCGGUGCAAGCGAGUAGCCAGAUCUGGUAGGCAAAUCCGCCAGGUCGACGGUGAGACGCGAUGCCGAGUCCGCAAGGACGGAAGUGGUUGAGCCCAGACUGCCGAGAAAAGUCUCUAAGCUUCAGGUAUGUGCUGACCGUACCGUAAACCGACACAGGUGGGCGGGGUGAGCAACCCAAGGCGUUCGAGGAAACUCUGGUCAAGGAACUCGGCAAAAUGACCCCGUAAGUUCGCGAGAAGGGGUGCUUCUUGUGGUGGCGAAUUCUCUUCUCAAGCCACGAGGAGCCGCAGAGAAAUGGCGGGGGCGACUGUUUACUAAAAACACAGGUCUCUGCGAAGUCGCAAGACGACGUAUAGGGACUGACGCCUGCCCGGUGCCGGAAGGUUAAGGGGUGGGGUUAGCCGCAAGGUGAAGCCCUAAACCGAAGCCCCGGUAAACGGCGGCCGUAACUAUAACGGUCCUAAGGUAGCGAAAUUCCUUGUCAGGUAAGUUCUGACCUGCACGAAUGGCGCAACGAUCUCCGCGCUGUCUCGACCAGAGACUCGGUGAAAUUGAAGUGGCGGUGAAAAUGCCGUCUACCCGCAGAAGGACGGAAAGACCCUGUGCACCUUUACUACAGCUUGACGUUGUGUUCUGGGCUGGCAUGUGUAGGAUAGGUGGGAGGCUUUGAAUCGUGUACGCCAGUAUGCGUGGAGCCAUCCUUGAAAUACCACCCUUGCCAGUCUAGGGCCCUAACCCGUAGCCGUCAUCCGGCGCGGGGACAGCGUCUGGUGGGUAGUUUGACUGGGGCGGUCGCCUCCCAAACAGUAACGGAGGCUCGCAAAGGUCCCCUCAGGCUGAUUGGAAACCAGCCGUCGAGUGCAAAAGCAGAAGGGGGCUUGACUGUGAGAGAGACAUCUCGAGCAGGGACGAAAGUCGGCUUUAGUGAUCCGGUGGUCCCGCAUGGAAGGGCCAUCGCUCAUAGGAUAAAAGGUACGCCGGGGAUAACAGGCUGAUCGCGCCCAAGAGUUCACAUCGACGGCGCGGUUUGGCACCUCGAUGUCGGCUCAUCACAUCCUGGGGCUGGAGCAGGUCCCAAGGGUACGGCUGUUCGCCGUUUAAAGUGGUACGCGAGCUGGGUUUAAAACGUCGUGAGACAGUUUGGUCCCUAUCCUCUGUGGGCGCAGGAGAACUGCGAGGGGCUGCCCCUAGUACGAGAGGACCGGGGUGGACGAACCUCUAGUGUUCCAGUUGUCGCGCCAGCGGCACGGCUGGGUAGCUACGUUCGGAAAGGAUAACCGCUGAAGGCAUCUAAGCGGGAAGCCUGCCUCAAGAUAAGUUCUCCCUGGAGCUUCGGCUCCCUGAAGAUCCCUGGUAGACCACCAGGUGGAUAGGCCGGAGGUGGAAGCGUGGCGACACGUGGAGCUGACCGGUACUAAUCGAUCGUGCGGCUUACUCCC